UCCGAGUUGACCCCGGCAGUCUCGCAUGAGUCCCCACCACCCCAAAAAGGGGCGUGCUGGCAACAUGCGACAAGGGUUGCGCUCGUUGCGGGACUUAACCCAACAUCUCACGGCACAAGCUGACGACAGCCAUGCACCACCUGUACACCGACAAAAGGGCCCCCAUCUCUGAGGGUUUCCGGCGUAUGUCAAACCCAGGUAAGGUUCUUCGCGUUGCAUCGAAUUAAUCCGCAUGCUCCGCCGCUUGUGCGGGCCCCCGUCAAUUCCUUUGAGUUUUAGCCUUGCGGCCGUACUCCCCAGGCGGGGCGCUUAAUGCGUUAGCUGCGGCACGGAACCCGUGGAAUGGAUCCCACACCUAGCGCCCAACGUUUACGGUGUGGACUAC
This 385-nucleotide unclassified non-coding RNA is filed under the name uncultured Nocardioidaceae bacterium. RNAcentral's name for it is "contains 16S-23S intergenic spacer region". Lineage: Bacteria; Bacillati; Actinomycetota; Actinomycetes; Propionibacteriales; Nocardioidaceae. The record is from RNAcentral.